CAUGCAAGUCGAGGGGCAGCGAGAUUGAAGCUUGCUUCAAUUGUCGGCGACCGGCGGACGGGUGCGUAACGCGUAUGCAACCUACCCAUAACAGGGGGAUAACACUGAGAAAUUGGUACUAAUACCCCAUAACAUCUCGAGUGGCAUCACUUGGGGUUGAAAGCUUCGGUGGUUAUGGAUGGGCAUGCGUUGUAUUAGCUAGUUGGAGAGGUAACGGCUCACCAAGGCGACGAUACAUAGGGGGACUGAGAGGUUAACCCCCCACAAUGGGACUGAGACACGGACCAAACUCCUACGGGAGGCAGCAGUGAGGAAUAUUGGUCAAUGGACGCAAGUCUGAACCAGCCAUGCCGCGUGCAGGAUGACGGCUCUAUGAGUUGUAAACUGCUUUUGUACGAGGGUAAACCCGGAUACGUGUAUCCGGCUGAAAGUAUCGUACGAAUAAGGAUCGGCUAACUCCGUGCCAGCAGCCGCGGUAAUACGGAGGAUUCAAGCGUUAUCCGGAUUUAUUGGGUUUAAAGGGUGCGUAGGCGGUUUGAUAAGUUAGAGGUGAAAUACCGGUGCUUAACACCGGAACUGCCUCUAAUACUGUUGAGCUAGAGAGUAGUUGCGGUAGGCGGAAUGUAUGGUGUAGCGGUGAAAUGCUUAGAGAUCAUACAGAACACCGAUUGCGAAGGCAGCUUACCA
This 687-nucleotide ribosomal RNA is filed under the name uncultured bacterium. RNAcentral describes it as "bacterial SSU rRNA". It matches the Rfam family "Bacterial small subunit ribosomal RNA", at positions 54 to 731 of the family's 1533-position model. The record is from RNAcentral.